This 459-nucleotide ribosomal RNA is filed under the name uncultured bacterium. RNAcentral's name for it is "partial 16S ribosomal RNA". It matches the Rfam family "Bacterial small subunit ribosomal RNA", at positions 338 to 795 of the family's 1533-position model. The record is from RNAcentral.
CCUACGGGAGGCUGCAGUGAGGAAUAUUGGUCAAUGGGCGCGAGCCUGAACCAGCCAAGUAGCGUGAAGGAUGACUGCCCUACGGGUUGUAAACUUCUUUUGUAAAGGGAUAAUAUGAGUCACGUGUGCCUUGUUGUCUGUACUUUAUGAAUAAGCAUCGGCUAACUCCGUGCCAGCAGCCGCGGUAAUACGGAGGAUGCGAGCGUUAUCCGGAUUUAUUGGGUUUAAAGGGUGCGUAGGGGGCUUUAUAAGUUAGUGGUAAAAUAUUGGGGCUAAACCGUAAAAUGCCAUUGAUUCUGUCAGUCUUGAGUACAGUCGAGGUAGGCGGAAUUCGUGGUGUAGCGGUGAAAUGCUUAGAUAUAACGAAGAACUCCGAUAGCGAAGGCAGCUUACUAGACUGAGACUGACACUGAUGCACGAGAGUGUGGGUAGCGAACAGGAUUAGAUACCCGGGUAGUC